Molecule: transfer RNA, 74 nt
Filed under: Ishigurovirus osborne
Lineage: Duplodnaviria; Heunggongvirae; Uroviricota; Caudoviricetes; Pantevenvirales; Straboviridae
Also listed under: 1 other name
Description: Aeromonas phage 65 tRNA
Rfam family: tRNA
About the family: Transfer RNA (tRNA) molecules are approximately 80 nucleotides in length.
Source: Rfam by way of RNAcentral
GGGGGAUUAGCUCAGUUGGAAUGAGCGACUGGUUUGCAACCAGUAGGUCAUCGGUUCGACCCCGAUAUCCUCCA